Molecule: ribosomal RNA, 253 nt
Filed under: uncultured bacterium
Lineage: Bacteria
Description: partial 16S ribosomal RNA
Rfam family: Bacterial small subunit ribosomal RNA
Source: RNAcentral
UACGUAGGGGGCUAGCGUUGUCCGGAAUCAUUGGGCGUAAAGCGCGUGUAGGCGGUCCGGUAAGUCCGCUGUGAAAGUCGGGGGCUCAACCCUCGGAUGCCGGUGGAUACUGUCGGACUUGAGUACGGAAGAGGCGAGUGGAAUUCCUGGUGUAGCGGUGAAAUGCGCAGAUAUCAGGAGGAACACCAAUUGCGAAGGCAGCUCGCUGGGACGUUACUGACGCUGAGACGCGAAAGCGUGGGGAGCAAACAGG